Molecule: ribosomal RNA, 468 nt
Filed under: uncultured bacterium
Lineage: Bacteria
Description: partial 16S ribosomal RNA
Rfam family: Bacterial small subunit ribosomal RNA
Source: RNAcentral
GACGAACGCUGGCGGCGUGCUUAACACAUGCAAGUCGAACGGAAAGGCCCUGCUUUUGUGGGGUGCUCGAGUGGCGAACGGGUGAGUAACACGUGAGUAACCUGCCCUUGACUUUGGGAUAACUUCAGGAAACUGGGGCUAAUACCGGAUAGGAGCUCCUGCUGCAUGGUGGGGGUUGGAAAGUUUCGGCGGUUGGGGAUGGACUCGCGGCUUAUCAGCUUGUUGGUGGGGUAGUGGCUUACCAAGGCUUUGACGGGUAGCCGGCCUGAGAGGGGGAACGGCCACAUUGGGACUGAGAUACGGCCCAGACUCCUACGGGAGGCAGCAGUGGGGAAUAUUGCAGAAUGGGCGGAAGCCUGAUGCAGCAACGCCGCGUGCGGGAUGACGGCCUUCGGGUUGUAAACCGCUUUCGCCGGUGACGAAGCGUGAGUGACGGUAAUGGGUAAAGAAGCACCGGCUAACUACGUG